Grus americana (Whooping crane) is the source of this 1435-nucleotide long non-coding RNA. RefSeq lists it as uncharacterized. The transcript has 3 exons. Lineage: Eukaryota; Metazoa; Chordata; Aves; Gruiformes; Gruidae. The record is from RefSeq and is a predicted model, not a curated record.
UGUCGUAAAAGCCACCGCGGCCCCCGCCCGGCAUGGCGGGCCGCUUCUUUGCCGCUAGCCGGGAGCGCGACUGGGCCGGGCGCCCCGGGCCCGCCUGCCCUCAGCCGCUACGCUGGGGUGGCCCGUGCCCGCCGGGCGCCGCUCGAAGAGCGCCGGCUUUAUCCCCCGCUCCGUGAGGACCAGUCCAGGGGCGCCGGCGCGGCCCGGCCGAGGCGCCCGCCUCAGGCGCUGGCAGAGUUUGGCCACCUUCCAUGCAAUGGAGCAAUGUAGCCGAGUUUGUGGGUUGACUUAGGCUUGCAUCACCACCCUGAACCAGAUUGUAUCUGCAGUCAUCUGGAACUGACUACAUGCCUGAACUGAUGAGAGAUGCUGCGGAAACAUGGCUCUCUGGGGCCUUGACAAGAUGCUUUUGCCGUAUCCUGUCUUUUUAUUGCCUGGUCCUCUGGAAGGCGAGAGUGAGAAUCAGCGGUGUUACCCUGCAAACAGUUUGAGAACUGCUUUGGCAGCCAGUAGAAGAAAAGAGCGUGGUGUGGUCGCAGCAAGCACGUGCUCUUUCUAGCAAUUUAUAAUUGCACUAUGAUCCCAAGGAGGAGUGAUGUUCGAACCUCCCUCUGAUUACCUGUGUUCUUUUCUCUUACUGUAACAACAUUGUUUCUUUGUAACACACAAACGUUCAUGCAAAAAUGCCAGGCAGAUUAAAGUAGUUUUACAAAUUAAGGAAAAGCUGGUAUGAAACAAAAAGAAAAUGAAACUAUCCCAGCACUUCUGCACUUCCUUAUAAUCAAAGUCCUGUCUUUGGCAGGUGUUAGGUAGGAUACACACUCGGUGAGGCCUAUGAGAAUUUUCCUUGUGUAAAGACUGCAGGAGUUAGCCCUAGCAAAUCACACUGUUCUAAAAAUAGUGGCCAGUAAGCAACAGGGGGGCUGUCUUGGGGAAUAAAAACAGGAAGAGAACUUGGUGAGAGCUUGAUCCUCUGCAGUGUCACCUUUCACAAUUGAGUGACUGACGAACAAAAGAAAAAAAAAAGUGAGCUAAAUCUCGGUGAGGAUGGAUGCCUCCUGUUGCGGAAUAGAACAAACUCCAGUGACAUGCUCCCUCCCAUUAGAUCUGAUACUACUGUUUUAUGAUAAAGAUUAAUUUCUAAAAAUCAACCAUAAACCUAUAGGUCGGCCAAUAAGACAGUGACUUGACAAAUUUUUCAUUGCAAAGUGUAUGAUAGUUUCACGCCUUUAAUUUGCAUCAUUGCAGACAGUCUUUUGUUGAAUCCAAUGAAGUUUGAAUCCCACUAUGAAUUUAAUUGUUUUCCACAACUAGAUUAUGAACAGAAACCUUUGAUUUCUAUUAAUUAUGUAUCUUCAAAAAGCUAUUUUGUGUGUGUAUAUAUAUAUUUAAUAACAGGAAAUGUAACAUUUAUUUUUAUUAAACUAAUAAAACA